Molecule: ribosomal RNA, 890 nt
Filed under: uncultured bacterium
Lineage: Bacteria
Description: bacterial SSU rRNA
Rfam family: Bacterial small subunit ribosomal RNA
Source: RNAcentral
AGAGUUUGAUCAUGGCUCAGAACGAACGCUGGCGGCGUGCCUAACACAUGCAAGUCGAGCGAGAAAGGGGAGCAAUCCCUGAGUAAAGCGGCGAACGGGUGAGUAACACGUAGGUUACCUGCCUUUCAGCUCGGGACAACCUGUCGAAAGACGGGCUAAUACCGGAUAAGACCACGACUCUUUCGGGAGCAGUGGUAAAAGAUGGCCUCUUCAUGAACGCUAUCUCUGAAAGAUGGGCCUGCGCACCAUUAGCUAGUUGGUAGGGUAAUGGCCUACCAAGGCUACGAUGGUUAGCUGAUCUGAGAGGAUGAUCAGCCACACUGGAACUGAAACACGGUCCAGACUCCUACGGGAGGCAGCAGUGGGGAAUAUUGCGCAAUGGGGGAAACCCUGACGCAGCAACGCCGCGUGAGUGACGAAGGCCUUCGGGUCGUAAAGCUCUGUCGGAGGGGAAGAAACUAUUCAUGGCUAAUAUCCAUGGAUAUUGACGGUACCCUCAAAGGAAGCACCGGCUAACUCCGUGCCAGCAGCCGCGGUAAUACGGAGGGUGCAAGCGUUGUUCGGAAUUACUGGGCGUAAAGCGCGUGUAGGUGGCUCGUCAUGUCAGGUGUGAAAGCCCUCGGCCUAACCGAGGAAGUGCGCCUGAAACUGCCGAGCUUGAGUACGAGAGAGGAGGACGGAAUUCCCAGUGUAGAGGUGAAAUUCGUAGAUAUUGGGAGGAACACCGGUGGCGAAAGCGGUUCUCUGGAUCGAUACUGACACUAAGACGCGAAAGCGUGGGUAGCAAACAGGAUUAGAUACCCUGGUAGUCCACGCCGUAAACGAUGGAUAUUAGUUGUUGCGAGUUUAACCCUCGCAGUGACGACGCUAACGCAUUAAAUAUCCCGCCU